RNAcentral lists this ribosomal RNA (252 nucleotides) under uncultured bacterium. Its description in RNAcentral is "partial 16S ribosomal RNA". It matches the Rfam family "Bacterial small subunit ribosomal RNA", at positions 524 to 776 of the family's 1533-position model. The record is from RNAcentral.
UACGUAGGUCCCGAGCGUUGUCCGGAUUUAUUGGGCGUAAAGCGAGCGCAGGUGGUUUAUUAAGUCUGGUGUAAAAGGCAGUGGCUCAACCAUUGUGUGCAUUGGAAACUGGUAGACUUGAGUGCAGGAGAGGAGAGUGGAAUUCCAUGUGUAGCAGUGAAAUGCGUAGAUAUAUGGAGGAACACCGGUGGCGAAAGCGGCUCUCUGGCCUGUAACUGACACUGAGGCUCGAAAGCGUGGGGAGCAAACAGG